UUUUGGGAAGUAAAAGUCGUAACAAGGUUUCCGUAGGUGAACCUGCGGAAGGAUCAUUAUCAAAACAGCGGACUUCGGUCCUUGCUGCACCCUUGUCUUUUGCGUACCGUAUGUUUCCUCGGCGGGCUUGCCUGCCGGUUGGACAUUAUCAAACCUUUUUGUAGUUGCAAUCAGCGUCAGAAAAUAAACAAUAAUUACAACUUUCAACAACGGAUCUCUUGGUUCUGGCAUCGAUGAAGAACGCAGCGAAAUGCGAAAAGUAGUGUGAAUUGCAGAAUUCAGUGAAUCAUCGAAUCUUUGAACGCACAUUGCGCCCCUUGGUAUUCCAUGGGGCAUGCCUGUUCGAGCGUCAUUUUGUACCCUCAAGCACUGCUUGGUGUUGGGCGUUUGUCCUGCAAAGGACUCGCCUGAAAGCGAUUGGCGGCCAACGUACUGGUGGUAGAGCGCAGCACAAUUUGCGUCUCUCCCUUCUACGUCGGCGUCCAUGAAGCCUUUUUCAACGUUGACCUCGGAUCAGUAGGUUCCCCGGAUC
Molecule: ribosomal RNA, 532 nt
Filed under: soil fungal sp. 4-M-3
Lineage: Eukaryota; Fungi
Description: eukaryotic LSU rRNA
Rfam family: 5.8S ribosomal RNA (bases 199-352)
Source: RNAcentral